AGUUGGCAUAGCUGUAAAUUGUGAAGAUGGAACUUGAACUUGCUUCUCUGUGCUCUUUAUUCUAUUCCACACAGGCCUAUGAGUUCAGUUUUUCAUUUACCCAUGUUAUUUACUUUUAUUAGAUCCCCAUGUGGUUGUCAUCAAAUCUGAGCUCCUCACCAUGAACCAACUGCCCUCCCCUGACUCAUGUUUGAUGCAGUGACCGAUGGUGAGAAAGAGGCAAGAAUGUAUAUGAUUCAGUUCAGCAGAUGAGUGUCAACAACGUGCUGAAUAAAGAAAAGUGUCUUCACUCUACUGCAGUAUCUCUUUUGCCAGCACACACUGAGGAAAGGUAUGAGAGCUCCUGGGCCUGAGGGUCAUUUGAAGGUCAUUGAGGCACACAACCCUUGGGUCAAGGGUCCUCUCUUCCCAGCCCAUCACCUCACCCAGCCACUGGGGAGUUGAGCCAGCCCAGAUUCAGAAAAGGCAAAAGAAAGUGCUACAGACAAUGUUCGUGUCCCCCGAAAUUCAUAUGUUGAUAUCUAAUCUCCAAUAUGAGGCUAUUUGGAGAUGUCGCCUUUGGGAAGUGAUUAGGUCAUGAGGGUGGGACCUUCAUGAAUGGGAUUAGUGCCCUUAUAAAAGAGAUCCCAGAGAGCUCCCUCUCUCCUUUCACCAUGUGAGGACGCAGCAAGAAGACAGCAUUUAUGAACCAGGAAGCAGACUCUCACCAGACACGGGAUCUGCAGGUGCCUUGAUCUUGGACUUCCCAGCUUUAAUAACUGUGAGAAAUGGAUGUCUGUUAUUUGUAAGCCACCCAGUCUAUGGUAUUUUGUUAUAGCAGCCCCAAUGGACUAAGAAGGAAAGUAUAGCUCGUGUGAGUAGCACAAUAGCAAAUUAGAAUUGCCUUAUGUAAAUACCUAUGCCUUACAAGAAGUGUUUUUUGUUUUUGUUUUUUGCUCUUUUGUCACUCACCUGGAGAAUGUCACUUACCUGUAAAUAUUCUACUGAUGAGGGGAAACUUUCCUUCCCUAUCCUUGUGUCUGGCAUGUACAUAUGCCAGCCGCCUGAGACAGCUCAGAUUCAAGCUGUGUUAGGGAAAUUUUACGAUCUGCUGCUAUUGUGUGGCACUCCUUUUACUCAAUUUCCCAACUGACCAGGGUUCUAGCUCCCAAGCUCUCUGAAGGGUUGUGCCUACAAAAAUAGUGUUAUUGCACAAGGUGAAUGUGAAAAGGAAAAAUAAAGUAAGUCAUCUGGAGUACUCUGAUAAGGAACAGCUGCGUUGAUUGAACCUGCGUUUCCUAGGGAGGAGGAACUCUUUGGGAACUGCCAUAAACUUCAGACUACAAGGGCACUCUAUCUGGGGUUACUGUUAAAAAAUUUGAAUAAAUGGGUCCACUACAGUAGUUCUACCUUUGCUUGAACACUUUUGUCCAUGGCAGAUGCCCACAAGUUAGCCCAUUCAUUCAGUCUAAUGAAGAGUCUAAUAAAAACAUGUCUCUCAUCCAAAACUGAAAUCUGAAUGGAUCACCUCUCUAAUUCUAAUUAUCCUAUAUCUAGUAACAUAGAAUUAGCUUUUUCCACAGCAACAUUGCACAGUUAUAUUAUAUUAAGCUUA
Molecule: long non-coding RNA, 1594 nt
Organism: Diceros bicornis minor
Lineage: Eukaryota; Metazoa; Chordata; Mammalia; Perissodactyla; Rhinocerotidae
Exons: 4
Source: RefSeq, a predicted model, not a curated record